This 493-nucleotide long non-coding RNA is filed under the name Macaca mulatta (Rhesus monkey). Its description in RNAcentral is "lncRNA (ENSMMUG00000055870.1)". The record is from RNAcentral. Lineage: Eukaryota; Metazoa; Chordata; Mammalia; Primates; Cercopithecidae.
GAAAUGGGUUAUUGGCAGAUGAGACACCAUCUUCUCCCUCUUCAUCAUGGAAGGAAGCUCUUAAAAAUCCAGACAUCCAACAAGAGACCAAUAGGACACGCUGAUGUUUUAUGAAUGGGGCCAGGACCAGCCUGAGUGUGGAGCCUCAUGGGCUGAGUUUCCCCUGGAUUCAGAGCCCUGAGGUUGAGUUAUCUACUGGUCAGCUGGAUCAGUUCAGCCGCUGUAAAGAGACAGUGCCCGGCCACCCAUACAGCAUUCCUUUGUGGCAGACAAGGGACUGGUGAAAUGCAACAUAGAUGGUCUAAGGACCCUGUGCAAUGGAAACUCCAAUUGAAAUUGUACAUAACCACUAACAUUCUACCUAUUCAAGGGGGCUGAAGAUGGAGUGUAAGAAAAAGCUCCAAAGCCAGAGCGCUGUUGCAGCCUCGGCCUCAUUUUCCAACAGGUACACUGGAGUUAUAAAUACAUGCACGGGCCACAGGGAUGGUGCAGG